This 372-nucleotide ribosomal RNA is filed under the name uncultured bacterium. RNAcentral's name for it is "bacterial SSU rRNA". It matches the Rfam family "Bacterial small subunit ribosomal RNA", at positions 527 to 896 of the family's 1533-position model. The record is from RNAcentral.
GGGGGGGGCAAGCGUUGUUCGGAAUUACUGGGCGUAAAGGGCUCGUAGGUGGCCUUCUAAGUCAGACGUGAAAUCCCUCGGCUCAACCGGGGAACUGCGUCUGAUACUGGGAGGCUUGAAUUCGGGAGAGGGACGUGGAAUUCCAGGUGUAGCGGUGAAAUGCGUAGAUAUCUGGAGGAACACCGGUGGCGAAGGCGGCGUCCUGGACCGAUAUUGACACUGAGGAGCGAAAGCCAGGGGAGCAAACGGGAUUAGAUACCCCGGUAGUCCUGGCCCUAAACGAUGAGUGCUUGGGUGUGGCGGGUAUCGAUCCCCGCCGUGCCGAAGCUAACGCGUUAAGCACUCCGCCUGGGGAGUACGGUCGCAAGGCUG